This 492-nucleotide ribosomal RNA is filed under the name uncultured bacterium. RNAcentral's name for it is "partial 16S ribosomal RNA". It matches the Rfam family "Bacterial small subunit ribosomal RNA", at positions 29 to 507 of the family's 1533-position model. The record is from RNAcentral.
AGUGAACGCUGGCGGUAGGCCUAACACAUGCAAGUCGAGCGGCAGCACAGUAAGCGCUUGCUCUUACGGGUGGCGAGUGGCGGACGGGUGAGGCAUACAUCGGAAUCUACUUUUUCGUGGGGGACAACGGAGGGAAACUUACGCUAAUACCGCAUACGACCUACGGCUGAAAGCAGGGGAGCUUCGGACCUUGCGCGUUUCAAUGAGCCGAUGUCGCAUUAGCUAGUUGGCAGGGUAAAGGCCCACCAAGGCGACGAUGCGUAGCUGAUCUGAGAGGAUGAUCGGCCACACUGGAACUGAGACACGGUCCAGACUCCUACGGGAGGCAGCAGUGGGGAAUAUUGGGCAAUGGGCGCAAGCCUGAUGCAGCCAUACCGCGUGAGUGAUGAAGGUCUUCGGGUUGUAAAGCCCUUUUGUUGGGAAAGAACAGCUGUGUAUGAAUACGUCGAUAUUCUGACGGUACCCAAAGAAUAAGCACCGGCUAACUACGUG